GCAGUGACGGUAUCCAACCAGAAAGUCACGGCUAACUACGUGCCAGCAGCCGCGGUAAUACGUAGGUGGCAAGCGUUAUCCGGAUUUAUUGGGCGUAAAGCGAGCGCAGGCGGUUGCUUAGGUCUGAUGUGAAAGCCUUCGGCUUAACCGAAGAAGUGCAUCGGAAACCGGGCGACUUGAGUGCAGAAGAGGACAGUGGAACUCCAUGUGUAGCGGUGGAAUGCGUAGAUAUAUGGAAGAACACCAGUGGCGAAGGCGGCUGUCUGGUCUGCAACUGACGCUGAGGCUCGAAAGCAUGGGUAGCGAACAGGAUUAGAUACCCUGGUAGUCCAUGCCGUAAACGAUGAGUGCUAGGUGUUGGAGGGUUUCCGCCCUUCAGUGCCGGAGCUAACGCAUUAAGCACUCCGCCUGGGGAGUACGACCGCAAGGUUGAAACUCAAAGGAAUUGACGGGGGCCCGCACAAGCGGUGGAGCAUGUGGUUUAAUUCGAAGCUACGCGAAGAACCUUACCAGGUCUUGACAUCUUGCGCUAACCUUAGAGAUAAGGCGUUCCCUUCGGGGACGCAAUGACAGGUGGUGCAUGGUCGUCGUCAGCUCGUGUCGUGAGAUGUUGGGUUAAGUCCCGCAACGAGCGCAACCCUUGUUACUAGUUGCCAGCAUUAAGUUGGGCACUCUAGUGAGACUGCCGGUGACAAACCGGAGGAAGGUGGGGACGACGUCAGAUCAUCAUGCCCCUUAUGACCUGGGCUACACACGUGCUACAAUGGACGGUACAACGAGUCGCAAGCUCGCGAGAGUAAGCUAAUCUCUUAAAGCCGUUCUCAGUUCGGACUGUAGGCUGCAACUCGCCUACACGAAGUCGGAAUCGCUAGUAAUCGCGGAUCAGCAUGCCGCGGUGAAUACGUUCCCGGGCCUUGUACACACCGCCCGUCACACCAUGGGAGUUUGUAACGCCCAAAGUCGGUGGCCUAACCUUUAUGGAGGGAGCCGCCUAAGGCGGGA
RNAcentral lists this ribosomal RNA (1002 nucleotides) under Limosilactobacillus reuteri. Its description in RNAcentral is "bacterial SSU rRNA". It matches the Rfam family "Bacterial small subunit ribosomal RNA", at positions 466 to 1467 of the family's 1533-position model. The record is from RNAcentral. Lineage: Bacteria; Bacillati; Bacillota; Bacilli; Lactobacillales; Lactobacillaceae.